AAGUCGUAACAAGGUAUCCGUAGGUGAACCUGCGGAUGGAUCAUUAUCGAUAUAAUAAUCCUUUACUACCCCCAAACCUUCACAGCUUGUUGCGCUGUUUUUUAGGGUUUGGACAAUUUGAUAUACUCGCAUUUGGCUCUAAGUUUUUGUUAGAGAUGCUACUUAACCAAAUGAGAGGUUAAACUUUGUUUCUCAAAAGGCAUCUAUAUUUUUUUUCUUGAUUUCUGUUUGACUAAUAUUAAACAAACUAAAACAACUCUUAGCAACGGAUGUCUCGGCUCUCA
Molecule: unclassified non-coding RNA, 284 nt
Filed under: fungal sp.
Lineage: Eukaryota; Fungi
Description: partial internal transcribed spacer region
Rfam family: Eukaryotic small subunit ribosomal RNA (bases 1-46)
Source: RNAcentral